RNAcentral lists this ribosomal RNA (253 nucleotides) under uncultured bacterium. Its description in RNAcentral is "partial 16S ribosomal RNA". It matches the Rfam family "Bacterial small subunit ribosomal RNA", at positions 524 to 776 of the family's 1533-position model. The record is from RNAcentral.
UACGAGGGGGGCAAAUGUUGUUCGGAAUCACUGGGCGUAAAGGGGGCGUAGGCGGGUUUUUAAGUCAGGUGUUUAAUCCCGGGGCCCAACCCCGGACAGGCACUUGAAACUGGGAAUCUUGAAUAGUGGAGAGGUCGGUGGAAUUGGGGGUGUAGCGGUGGAAUGCGUAGAGAUCCCCAAGAACACCCGUUGCGAAGGCGGCCGACUGGACACAUAUUGACGCUGAGGCUCGAAAGCAUGGGGAGCAAACAGG